CGCUGAGUUUUGAAGAGAUUUGCCCGUUCGCUACGGACUUUAGCAGAAUCAUGGGUAUUGGUAGUCUAAUUUUCAUACCUUAUAGGUCGAGCUUUCUAUUGCCCCAUCGGACCAGAUGGAGAGACUCACACGACCUUCUAAACUCCAUAUACAUGUGUCAUGAUUUUAAUGGGUCCUAUUUUUUAUUCGUUAUCAUUUAGUUUGAACAAUUUUAAAUUAAUUGAAUAAUUUGAAUAAUGAGAGGUAAUUUAUUGGUACCUUCUUCUCCAACUACAAAAAAUGAAAUUAGAAUCCAUGGUGAAUUAAU
RNAcentral lists this long non-coding RNA (307 nucleotides) under Manihot esculenta (cassava). RNAcentral's name for it is "long non-coding RNA (MESC_LNC006096)". Lineage: Eukaryota; Viridiplantae; Streptophyta; Magnoliopsida; Malpighiales; Euphorbiaceae. The record is from RNAcentral.